Molecule: long non-coding RNA, 818 nt
Organism: Lycium barbarum (goji berry)
Lineage: Eukaryota; Viridiplantae; Streptophyta; Magnoliopsida; Solanales; Solanaceae
Exons: 3
Source: RefSeq, a predicted model, not a curated record
AAGAAUCCAUACCAUGGUUAAACCUUAAUGAUACUAUUAAACUCAAACUAGGAUCAUUCAUGAUCUAAUAGAAAUUGGGCAGCAUUUCCCCUAUUUCGUCAACUUCCACCAUUUUACAAAACAACUCCCAACAACCGCAAUAACAUCCAUAGUACGCCCAUAAUAUCAUAAUCAAGUAAUCACACUACAUUAGCCUUCAACAAUUCAUCCUUAUGCUGCUUCUUAUGCUCUUACUUUGGUGUUGAUUAUGCCUUACAUACUCAGUACAUUAUUCGUAUUGACGUCCUUUUGUUUGUGGAUGCUGCGUCAUGCCCGCAGGUGGACAGGGAGACAGCUUGAUCCAUAGCUUUCUUACUCAGGGACUACACAGAGGAGCUCCAAUUCAUCCGGAGCUACAACUUUUGCUGCGUUACAUGCCCGCAGGUACAGGCGCACUUGGUGAUACGCCGCCAGUCUAGGGCUCGGAUUCUGCUAUUCUGAAGAGCUCCUUCGAUCCGGAGCAAAUACUUUUGGUACACCCAGAUGAGUAGAAGCCAUUAUAGAAGAUGUUCCAGCGGAAUUGGCAAGCUCCAUUUGCUCCUGGAGUGUUGCCGAGUCAGAGUAUUCAUGCUAUGGUAUCUUGGUCGAUGUUAGAGACUUUGCAGACAGAGUCGUGGGUAUAGAAUGUCAGUCUUGUAAGCCGCUCCACCAGCCGAUGUGUCAUUAUGUAUUAUGUUACGGAUUCUUUAUGACUACGGAUUUACUUGCCUUGAGAACGAUGAAAAAAUGAUUCUGCAAGCCCUUAUUAUGUAUUUUAUUCUUAUUUGAUUUAAAGAGUC